CUGAAAAAUCCUUCGCGUUCCACGUUUCUUUCAUUCCGCGAGCGAGUCUUCGAGAUUUCUCGCAGAGAGAAAUUUUGAUGCUCGAGUCUUCAGAAGAAAUGAUUUCACUCUCUCUUCGAAGUCCGAACUCGUCCGUAAGGCGAUAUCAUCCAUAGCGUAAAGCUCUCUCUCCUGGCGAAGGUCUUUGCCUGAAGUUGAACACUGAAGUUCAUUUCUACAAAUGCUGAGUUGCUGAUCGGCGUUCUCUUCUCAGUUGUUUGGUUCCAUUGAAGCGGACCUUGAUUCUACUCAAAGCAAUCUGCCAAAAGUCCGAUCAGACUGCGAGGGAAUCUGCCGGAUGGAAAUCGUACUAGUGCAGGAGUAUGCUGCUGAUUGGACUUACAGAUGCGAAGAAGCUGUCAAUCUUGUCCUCGCUUAUCUGGAUCAUCUCCUCAUUUUGUAUUUUGAGAAUGUUAUAGGGAUACAAAUGGCUUCAAGAAAUGGAUCCCACUGCGCGAGCGUUUCGUACCUAAUGGCUUUGUCCGUGCAUAGGCGUCUUCUGUGGAGAGAUGUAGUCGUGCACGGAUUGUGAUGCUGCAUGUCGAAUCUAUGUGCAGCAUGUAGUGAUUCUGUUAUUGGAUUCCAACCAUGUUGAUGCUGAGGUCCAUGUCCUUGUAUCGAGAGAAUUCCUAAAGGCUAUUGAGAAGAAUGUCUUGGUCAGUGCAGGACGAGUCAACCUCCUCCAAUCUGACCAUUCUAUUUUUUCUCAAGCUGAAAUAUGGAUGUCUUCCAACUUCAAGAUUCAUAACCAAAAGGAAUUUCAUUAAGCAAAAUGUGACUCGUUUUAGGAUGCAUCAAGCAUUGAAGUUGCAGAAUGGCGAGAUCUGGAUGCUUUAUUUCGCAGAUUUAGUCCGCUGUUUUAUUGUCCACUGCGGAAGCAUGAUCUUCAUGUCCAACAAAGGGAUCGAUGGAGUUCAUACGUGGCAUAUAUCUACUGACAACAUUUGGGUCAAGGUAGCAAUGGUUUCAUCAUUUGCCGAUGAACUGAUGAUUCAAACACCAAGGCCAGACUGAAGAUUACUCCUUUCAGAAGCGAGAAAAGGUUCUGAGAGGGCGUGCUUCUGAAACUGAAAGGAAGUCUUCAAAUGACACUGGAGGAAUGAUCUUACUCAUCAAAACUGUAGUGUCAGUGGAACUGCCACGUUGGAAGUGCAAGCAGCAGGUGAUGAAAUCGAUAUCCCACCAAAAAACACGAUCACUGUCAUCGGCGAAGAUGAUCCUGUGAAGGUCAUCAAGAAGGUGAGAAAGUUCAGAAAAUAUGCUGCAAUUUUGAGUGUAGGGCCUGCAAAAGAGGAGAAGAAAGAUGGGAAGAAGGAGAGCAAAGAUGUCAUAAGUCAUCUCCCAAAGACAUGUCGCAAGUGCGAUGUCUGAUGUGUUAUCACCAAAGAUGCUUAUAGUUACAGCUCCACUAUGUGUUUAGGAAAUUAGAUAUGGGUUUAAUUUAUGGGUAAUUUCUUAUCCAUCUACAUUGGCAA
Molecule: non-coding RNA, 1514 nt
Organism: Cucurbita pepo subsp. pepo (vegetable marrow)
Lineage: Eukaryota; Viridiplantae; Streptophyta; Magnoliopsida; Cucurbitales; Cucurbitaceae
Source: RefSeq, a predicted model, not a curated record